RNAcentral lists this ribosomal RNA (404 nucleotides) under uncultured bacterium. RNAcentral's name for it is "partial 16S ribosomal RNA". It matches the Rfam family "Bacterial small subunit ribosomal RNA", at positions 30 to 526 of the family's 1533-position model. The record is from RNAcentral.
AUUGAACGCUGGCGGCAGGCCUAACACAUGCAAGUCGAGCGAGCGGCGGACGUGUGAGUAAUGCCUGGAAAUUGCCCAGUCGAGGGGGAUAACAGUUGGAAACGACUGCUAAUACCGCAUAAUAUUGGAUUGCCCAGGUGGGAUUAGCUAGUAGGUGAGGGAAUGGCUCACCAAGGCGACGACCCCUAGCUGGUCUGAGAGGACGAUCAGCCACACUGGAACUGAGACACGGUCCAGACUCCUACGGGAGGCAGCAGGGGGGAAUAUUGCACAAUGGGCGAAAGCCUGAUGCAGCCAUGCCGCGUGUGUGAAGAAGGCCUUCGGGUUGUAAAGCACUUUCAGCGAGGAGGCGUUACUCGCAGAAGAAGCACCGGCUAACUCCGUGCCAGCAGCCGCGGUAAUAC